UUUCCAUAGGUGAACCUGCGGAAGGAUCAUUAUUGUAUAACCGAGGUGCGAGGGCUGUCGCUGACCCGAAAGGUCGUGCACGCCCGAGUGCCCUCGCACACAUCCAUCUUACCCCUAUGUGCACCACCGCGUGGGUCCCCCUUUGGCUUGUUCGGAGGGGGGCUUACGUUUUCACACAAACUUUGUAUGCAGUGUAGAAUGUAUUUUUUGUUUUUGCGAUCACGCAAUCAAUACAACUUUCAACAACGGAUCUCUUGGCUCUC
Molecule: unclassified non-coding RNA, 263 nt
Filed under: plant metagenome
Description: partial contains small subunit ribosomal RNA, internal transcribed spacer 1, and 5.8S ribosomal RNA
Source: RNAcentral